RNAcentral lists this ribosomal RNA (575 nucleotides) under Aspergillus neoglaber. RNAcentral's name for it is "eukaryotic LSU rRNA". It matches the Rfam family "Eukaryotic large subunit ribosomal RNA", at positions 58 to 648 of the family's 3401-position model. The record is from RNAcentral. Lineage: Eukaryota; Fungi; Ascomycota; Eurotiomycetes; Eurotiales; Aspergillaceae.
AAAGAAACCAACAGGGAUUGCCUCAGUAACGGCGAGUGAAGCGGCAAGAGCUCAAAUUUGAAAGCUGGCCCCCUCGGGGCCCGCGUUGUAAUUUGCAGAGGAUGCUUCGGGUGCAGCCCCCGUCUAAGUGCCCUGGAACGGGCCGUCAUAGAGGGUGAGAAUCCCGUCUGGGACGGGGUGUCUGCGUCCGUGUGAAGCUCCUUCGACGAGUCGAGUUGUUUGGGAAUGCAGCUCUAAAUGGGUGGUAAAUUUCAUCUAAAGCUAAAUACUGGCCGGAGACCGAUAGCGCACAAGUAGAGUGAUCGAAAGAUGAAAAGCACUUUGAAAAGAGAGUUAAACAGCACGUGAAAUUGUUGAAAGGGAAGCGUUUGCGACCAGACUCGCCCGCGGGGUUCAGCCGGCACUCGUGCCGGUGUACUUCCCCGUGGGCGGGCCAGCGUCGGUUUGGGCGGCCGGUCAAAGGCCCUCGGAAUGUAUCACCUCUCGGGGUGUCUUAUAGCCGAGGGUGCAAUGCGGCCUGCCCGGACCGAGGAACGCGCUUCGGCUCGGACGCUGGCGUAAUGGUCGUAAAUGAC